This 328-nucleotide ribosomal RNA is filed under the name uncultured bacterium. RNAcentral's name for it is "bacterial SSU rRNA". It matches the Rfam family "Bacterial small subunit ribosomal RNA", at positions 28 to 334 of the family's 1533-position model. The record is from RNAcentral.
GACGAACGCUGGCGGCGUGCUUAACACAUGCAAGUCGAACGGACAUUUUUUGGAAAGCUCUUCGGAACUGGAAUCUAAAUGUUAGUGGCGGACGGGUGAGUAACGCGUGAGCAAUCUGCCUUUCAGAGGGGGAUAACAGCCGGAAACGGCUGCUAAUACCGCAUAAUGCAUCGGAUUCGCCAUGUUUUUGUAUGCCAAAGAUUUUAUUCGCUGAAAGAUGAGCUCGCGUCUGAUUAGCUAGUUGGCGGGGUAACGGCCCACCAAGGCGACGAUCAGUAGCCGGACUGAGAGGUUGAACGGCCACAUUGGGACUGAGGACACGGCCCAG